UACGAAGGGGGCUAGCGUUGUUCGGAUUUACUGGGCGUAAAGUGCACGUAGGCGGAUCGAUCAGUCAGGGGUGAAAUCCCAGAGCUCAACUCUGGAACUGCCUUUGAUACUGUCGAUCUGGAGUAUGGAAGAGGUGAGUGGAAUUCCGAGUGUAGAGGUGAAAUUCGUAGAUAUUCGGAGGAACACCAGUGGCGAAGGCGGCUCACUGGUCCAUUACUGACGCUGAGGUGCGAAAGCGUGGGGAGCAAACAGG
RNAcentral lists this ribosomal RNA (253 nucleotides) under uncultured bacterium. RNAcentral's name for it is "partial 16S ribosomal RNA". It matches the Rfam family "Bacterial small subunit ribosomal RNA", at positions 524 to 776 of the family's 1533-position model. The record is from RNAcentral.